UACGUAGGAUCCUAGCGUUGUCCGGAUUUACUGGGUGUAAAGGGUGCGCAGGCGGACUUGUAAGUCAGGGGUGAAAUCUCGCCGCUUAACGGCGAAACUGCCUUUGAUACUAUAAGUCUUGAGUUUGGUAGAGAUCCGUGGAAUUCCGAGUGUAGCAGUGAAAUGUGUAGAUAUUCGGAAGAACACCAGCGGCGAAGGCAGCGGAUUGGGCCAAAACUGACGCUCAGGCACGAAAGCAUGGGGAUCAAACAGGAUUAGAAACCCUCGUAGUCC
This 273-nucleotide ribosomal RNA is filed under the name uncultured bacterium. RNAcentral describes it as "partial 16S ribosomal RNA". It matches the Rfam family "Bacterial small subunit ribosomal RNA", at positions 524 to 796 of the family's 1533-position model. The record is from RNAcentral.